GCUCUUACCCUUGUGGAGUUGCUUUUAGUCCUUGUGGAAAGCUCAUGGCUUGUGGUGCAGAGGACAGACAUCUUAUCACAGCCACCUUAGAUGGGAAACUUCAGCUAUUUGUGGCUGAGUGACAGCUGACCUGCUGGUAAGAAUACAAGAAGAAAGGAGAGAAAGAAUCCAUGGCUUAGCUAUUUGAAGUGGACGGGCAGUUUCCAUAGGAGACCCUUGCUGGAUUCCUCUUCUGUAGGACUGACCCCCAUGUGAGAGUCCCUCCUCUUAAGAAAACCUUCAUGGGAAUCCUGGAAAUGAUGUUCUUCAAUAAAGAUGAGCCAGUGCCUC
Molecule: long non-coding RNA, 330 nt
Filed under: Rattus norvegicus (Norway rat)
Lineage: Eukaryota; Metazoa; Chordata; Mammalia; Rodentia; Muridae
Description: long non-coding RNA NONRATT002197
Source: RNAcentral